AAAGACCAGUUCCUAAUGUUUUGUACCUACAUUGUUUCAUACCUCAUAAUGCUCUCUACUAACCCAGGAACAUCAGCGAAGAGACGUUUUCAAGAUGUGCACAUAGAGAGUCGGACGAAAAUCAAAGCCUGUGUGGCAGUGGCACAAUGUGUUACGGAUGUGGUGCAGAGCCACUACUUUCUGGGUUAACUUGCUUAGACCUGCAUUUCUUUUUCAGGCCACACUGCAUAUGGCUAUGCCAUCUACGCACUAGUUGUCAGGGAUGAGGGUGGGUAAGGCUUUCCUGUGGCAACUUUCAUAAUGAGCCAAGAGACCCAGGAAAAUGUAGCAUUCUGCUUGAGGAAGAUCAGGAAUGCUGCACAAGAAUUUGAGACCAGGUAUUUGUAUUGCAUUAAGAUUAAUGACUGUAGCUCUACAGUACAUGUAGGCUAACUACAGUGCCUAGAAAAUCUGUAGACAGUGUGUAUGUGUGCAAUAUGAGUGAUCUUUAGGUGGACAAGGACAUGAAGGAAGUGGGGGCUACAAAAUAAGUGUUCCUAAAUGCCGACGUCUUUCUGUGCUGGUAUCACGUCUAGCAGGUAAUUAUUAUUAUGAGAAUGUUUUUAAAAGAAAGCUUUUGCCAUUAAUCAUGUUCACUUUUAGGUUAGGAAAAUAAAAGUAUACACUGAAUGAUAACGUUAUCUUUUUUCAGGCUGUAAACCGGUGGAUUACAACAAAAUAAUCAGGCAUUACAGGAAUGGACCACCUGGAUGACUGCAUCACAUACUGGAAGUACCAUUAUGUUUUUCUGUCAAUACACUUUACAGGAUAAAGACUUUGAAGACACUUCAACAACACUGGAGGAAGUACUUCCGUAUCCUUUUGUCCAGGCCUACCUGAGGAAGUACUGGCUUCCUUGUGCCAUGAGAAUAGAAACACCAACAAUCUCUUAGAGAGAUUCUUCCUCCGACUGAAAUAUCAGUUCCUGAAAGGCACAGCCAACCAGAGAUUUGACGAUUUCCUGAAACUCCUAACACGUCAAGUCAAUGGAUAUUUCAGAUUGUUGUCAUAGCUCUUCUUAAAAGACAGGGCCAUUUUUACUCCUGCGAUGGUGAUGUCAAAGGCAGAGUUGCCUUCACCAUCUUCAACUGCAGGUUCAACAAGGAUCUACUGAGGAGGUUCUGUAGUGCUGCUGGAUAUGGCUGGGACUACCCAGACAAUGAGUUCAGGGAUAUCACUCUGUGUUACCCAGAGACCCUCUGUCUGCGGCUGCUUGUCAUGGUCAUACACUGUAUGACCGUGAUACCCCUUCAAAUCAGUGGAUUCAAUUAUUUCAGCCACACCCAUUGCUGAAAGG
This is a long non-coding RNA of Coregonus clupeaformis (lake whitefish), 1336 nucleotides long. RefSeq lists it as uncharacterized. The record is from RefSeq and is a predicted model, not a curated record. NCBI's taxonomy places the organism in Eukaryota, Metazoa, Chordata, Actinopteri, Salmoniformes, Salmonidae. The transcript is spliced from 4 exons.